This is a long non-coding RNA of Uranotaenia lowii, 515 nucleotides long. RefSeq lists it as uncharacterized. The record is from RefSeq and is a predicted model, not a curated record. Lineage: Eukaryota; Metazoa; Arthropoda; Insecta; Diptera; Culicidae. The transcript is spliced from 3 exons.
AAUCUGACAUAUUUAUGGGUCGUUUCAAUCGGGUGACAUGUGUUGAAUGUCGAGAGUUUGAUUUUUUUUCCCCGUUCGUCCCUCUUUUGGUCUGGCGCAUCCUAUGCUGGAGCCAUACGGCAACGCAGUCUUCAGAAGAAAUAAAAUGCUUCCUUACGGGCUGUGAUCUCGCAGUUCUGCUUCCGUUGUUUUGGCCGGGCAUCUGGCUCUACUGGACACGCUUGGCAGAAUCUGUCGUCGUCGGAGUGGAAGUCGGGUUUUCGGGGAAAUCGUUUGCCAGGGUGGAAAAAUCCCCUGGGGUAGGUUUUUUUCGGCCUUCCACCUUUCCCCACCAUCAUCGCAUCUAUGAAACCGCGACCAGCACAAGGAUUAUUUUAUGGACACAUUCGAUAGGUGAUAGCAGCCAGUCAGCAGCGUCCAUUUCACCAAAACCAAUAGCAGCCACAAUAUGAGAUAUUUACAACUUAUAGUAUUUAUAGUAGUGUACCAAAUUAGUACAACUUAUUCAAAACGGG